This is a long non-coding RNA of Carassius gibelio (silver crucian carp), 1212 nucleotides long. RefSeq lists it as uncharacterized. The transcript is spliced from 4 exons. NCBI's taxonomy places the organism in Eukaryota, Metazoa, Chordata, Actinopteri, Cypriniformes, Cyprinidae. The record is from RefSeq and is a predicted model, not a curated record.
UGCAUAUUUUAAAAUAUUAUUGCCAAAAAUUUCAAAAUGAUUAUUUGCCUAGAAUUACACUUUAUUUCUUUCACUAUUCUAUUUCUUUAUGUUUUAUUUAAAAAAAAAUUUAAGAAAAGAAAAAAGACUGUAUGGUUAUGGUUAGUGUUACAUAAACAGUAGAUAAAGGUUUUAUAUCAUCACAUCACAUAUGAUGUUUGUAACACACGUCACUUUCUAAAAAACAGCAAACAAAGAUCAAGAUUGAAAGACGGAGAAAAGCAUCAUGGGCAAGAUUGUUUUGCUUUUAAACUUUUCUGUAGUUGUGAGCUCCUUGAGCUGAGACUAUUUUCAACAGCAUCUUUUUAUCAUUUCACAGGCUCAAGUGACUGAUAAAACGGAGGAGUGACAAAGAGAGUGAAGAGGCACAAAGAAAACUUGAGAAAUGACUGGGAGAACGACACUCUGAAGGAUCUCAGUGCUAUAAAGAUCCAUUUUAUCAGUCUAUCUGCUGCUGCGUCCUCUUUCUGUCCUCGUUCACUCUCGUGCUGAAGUGGAAAUCAUGGUCAGCAUCCCCAUCUGUGUGUGCUGAGGAUCAGAGCUGUGAUCGAGACAAAUUCCCUUUCGUCUCUCAUCUUCUGAUGAUGCAAUUUCUCCAUGACACAAAGAGCCUUCAGUUUUCAUCAAGAGAUCUUUCACUCCGUGAGGAGCUAUUGUUGUACGACAUGACAGCAACAGGAGAAGGAAGAGGAGAUGACACCUCAUCUGCAGAUGAAUAAUUAACAGAUUGAUCAAAGGCUCAUCAGAAUGUCAUAUUAGGAUCCUUAAAAGCAACUUGAUCCUCUUGAUAGCGGCUGCAGUGAGAUCACAUCCCUCUGCUUCAUCUCACGUUGUUUCCUGCCUUUGCAGACUUUGACUUUGAAAGUUCAGAAAUGCAGCAUUAGGAUUCUCAGCCCAUCCGCUUCACGAAUGAGACGAGAGCGUGCGCAUGUAUAAGUGGAAAUGUGUGUGUGUGAACUGGUUUUACUAUUCUCAACAACUUUAUUAUUCUUUUUUUUUUUUAUUGACUUGAUAAUGUCCAGAAAAUAAGUAUUUAUUAAUAACUUCUAAAUGUACUUCCAGUGGACCCUAAAUCAAAAUUCAAGGUGACUUUUAAAAUGAAGAAUGUAUUUUAUUGUAGUACUAUCAAUGUAUUUUUUUAAUAAUUCAGCUUAAUUUAGUUAAUUUCAGUUU